Molecule: ribosomal RNA, 1292 nt
Filed under: Escherichia coli
Lineage: Bacteria; Pseudomonadati; Pseudomonadota; Gammaproteobacteria; Enterobacterales; Enterobacteriaceae
Description: partial 23S ribosomal RNA
Rfam family: Bacterial large subunit ribosomal RNA
Source: RNAcentral
GAGGCACUACGGUGCUGAAGCAACAAAUGCCCUGCUUCCAGGAAAAGCCUCUAAGCAUCAGGUAACAUCAAAUCGUACCCCAAACCGACACAGGUGGUCAGGUAGAGAAUACCAAGGCGCUUGAGAGAACUCGGGUGAAGGAACUAGGCAAAAUGGUGCCGUAACUUCGGGAGAAGGCACGCUGAUAUGUAGGUGAAGUCCCUCGCGGAUGGAGCUGAAAUCAGUCGAAGAUACCAGCUGGCUGCAACUGUUUAUUAAAAACACAGCACUGUGCAAACACGAAAGUGGACGUAUACGGUGUGACGCCUGCCCGGUGCCGGAAGGUUAAUUGAUGGGGUCAGCGCAAGCGAAGCUCUUGAUCGAAGCCCCGGUAAACGGCGGCCGUAACUAUAACGGUCCUAAGGUAGCGAAAUUCCUUGUCGGGUAAGUUCCGACCUGCACGAAUGGCGUAAUGAUGGCCAGGCUGUCUCCACCCGAGACUCAGUGAAAUUGAACUCGCUGUGAAGAUGCAGUGUACCCGCGGCAAGACGGAAAGACCCCGUGAACCUUUACUAUAGCUUGACACUGAACAUUGAGCCUUGAUGUGUAGGAUAGGUGGGAGGCUUUGAAGUGUGGACGCCAGUCUGCAUGGAGCCGACCUUGAAAUACCACCCUUUAAUGUUUGAUGUUCUAACGUGGACCCGUAAUCCGGGUUGCGGACAGUGUCUGGUGGGUAGUUUGACUGGGGCGGUCUCCUCCUAAAGAGUAACGGAGGAGCACGAAGGUUGGCUAAUCCUGGUCGGACAUCAGGAGGUUAGUGCAAUGGCAUAAGCCAGCUUGACUGCGAGCGUGACGGCGCGAGCAGGUGCGAAAGCAGGUCAUAGUGAUCCGGUGGUUCUGAAUGGAAGGGCCAUCGCUCAACGGAUAAAAGGUACUCCGGGGAUAACAGGCUGAUACCGCCCAAGAGUUCAUAUCGACGGCGGUGUUUGGCACCUCGAUGUCGGCUCAUCACAUCCUGGGGCUGAAGUAGGUCCCAAGGGUAUGGCUGUUCGCCAUUUAAAGUGGUACGCGAGCUGGGUUUAGAACGUCGUGAGACAGUUCGGUCCCUAUCUGCCGUGGGCGCUGGAGAACUGAGGGGGGCUGCUCCUAGUACGAGAGGACCGGAGUGGACGCAUCACUGGUGUUCGGGUUGUCAUGCCAAUGGCACUGCCCGGUAGCUAAAUGCGGAAGAGAUAAGUGCUGAAAGCAUCUAAGCACGAAACUUGCCCCGAGAUGAGUUCUCCCUGACUCCUUGAGAGUCCUGAAGGAACGUU